UGACCUCGGAUCAGGUAGA
This 19-nucleotide ribosomal RNA is filed under the name Fusarium graminearum. RNAcentral's name for it is "partial 28S ribosomal RNA". Lineage: Eukaryota; Fungi; Ascomycota; Sordariomycetes; Hypocreales; Nectriaceae. The record is from RNAcentral. RNAcentral also lists the same sequence under 4 other names.